This 429-nucleotide ribosomal RNA is filed under the name Gemmatimonadota bacterium. RNAcentral's name for it is "Gemmatimonadetes bacterium partial 16S ribosomal RNA". It matches the Rfam family "Bacterial small subunit ribosomal RNA", at positions 355 to 776 of the family's 1533-position model. Lineage: Bacteria; Pseudomonadati; Gemmatimonadota. The record is from RNAcentral.
UAGGGAAUCUUCGGCAAUGGACGAAAGUCUGACCGAGCAACGCCGCGUGAGUGAAGAAGGUUUUAGGAUCGUAAAACUCUGUUGUUAGAGAAGAACAAGGACGUUAGUAACUGAACGUCCCCUGACGGUAUCUAACCAGAAAGCCACGGCUAACUACGUGCCAGCAGCCGCGGUAAUACGUAGGUGGCAAGCGUUGUCCGGAUUUAUUGGGCGUAAAGCGAGCGCAGGCGGUUUCUUAAGUCUGAUGUGAAAGCCCCCGGCUCAACCGGGGAGGGUCAUUGGAAACUGGGAGACUUGAGUGCAGAAGAGGAGAGUGGAAUUCCAUGUGUGGCGGUGAAAUGCGUAGAUAUAUGGAGGAACACCAGUGGCGAAGGCGGCUAUCUGGUCUGUAACUGACGCUGAGGCUCGAAAGCGUGGGGAGCAAACAGG